This 107-nucleotide small RNA is filed under the name Marmota monax (woodchuck). The record is from RNAcentral. Lineage: Eukaryota; Metazoa; Chordata; Mammalia; Rodentia; Sciuridae.
GCUGUGUGUGGUGGUUCAUGCCUGUAAUCCCAGCAGCUAGGGAGGCUGGAGCAGGAGGGUCUUGAAUUCAAAAACAGCCUGAGCAACUUAACGAGACCCUGUUCCUA